AACGCACAUUGCGCCCGCCAGUAUUCUGGCGGGCAUGCCUGUUCGAGCGUCAUUUCAACCAUCAAGCCCCAGGCUUGUGUUGGGGGCCUGCAGCUGCUGCAGCCCUUUAAAAGCAGUGGCGGACUCGCUGUCAUUCCGAGCGCAGUAGUUACAUCUCGCUCUGGGCGUGGCGGCGGGCACCUGCCGUGAAACAUUCUUUCUAAGGUUGACCUCGGAUCAGGUAGGAAUACCCGCUGAACUUAA
RNAcentral lists this unclassified non-coding RNA (243 nucleotides) under uncultured Ramophialophora. RNAcentral's name for it is "sequence contains ITS2". The stretch from base 1 to 52 matches the Rfam family "5.8S ribosomal RNA", at positions 103 to 154 of the family's 154-position model. The record is from RNAcentral. Lineage: Eukaryota; Fungi; Ascomycota; Sordariomycetes; Sordariales.